Molecule: unclassified non-coding RNA, 701 nt
Filed under: Athalia rosae (coleseed sawfly)
Lineage: Eukaryota; Metazoa; Arthropoda; Insecta; Hymenoptera; Athaliidae
Description: misc RNA ENSAEAG00005012508.1
Source: RNAcentral
GUGGAACGGUUCAACAACUUCGAAAUACUGAACGUCCUGCACUCAUUACCAGAAAAUUUUCGUACGCGUUUGACGACGAAAAUAUAACGACACAGCGAGGCAGUAAAUUAGACAGUCAAACUUGAGGGGCGGGAGGUCGAUAGCGAACGACUGGCUGACAAGGAAAUACCUUCUCCAAAUGUACCUGUGUCUCAUUUCGUUGCGACAUGCAACAUCUAGGCCCGAAUUAUUAUUUUCUCCUAACUCCCCACAUUUGGUUUGGGGGAAUGGAAUCAUCCUUGGAGAAUUGGCGUCCCAGCGGACCCUCGGAAUAUUUCGGGACUUACGGAAUCAGCAUCCGCAUAGACUGCAACCCGUGCCAAAGUGAUAACGUCACAGUACAACUACAAGCAUCUCGUUACUUUCAACAGGAAUGUGUCUACGUCUGAUAUUCGUGGAUUUGGAUUUGGAUUAUCUUAUACGUAUUGCGAGUGAUGGACAACGUAUGCAUGUGUCAUCAUGACUUAAUGAUUAUGUCUGAUAUUCGUUGGAAUCAUGACAACGUUUAGGAUUGAAAUAGAUAUUAUAUGUACCUUGUGAUUUCGAUAGUAACGUUUUGAAUAUGACUAUCCUAAGUUCGUUGAGUAAGAUGUGAAUUAGUAUAUUGAUAUGUAUUCUACACUAAUGGCUUAUCAAUAAACGAGAAGCAUCCUAGAACUGAA